This 735-nucleotide ribosomal RNA is filed under the name uncultured bacterium. RNAcentral describes it as "bacterial SSU rRNA". It matches the Rfam family "Bacterial small subunit ribosomal RNA", at positions 28 to 776 of the family's 1533-position model. The record is from RNAcentral.
GACGAACGCUGGCGGCGCGCCUAACACAUGCAAGUCGAACGAGCGAGAGAGAGCUUGCUUUCUCAAGCGAGUGGCGAACGGGUGAGUAACGCGUGAGGAACCUGCCUCAAAGAGGGGGACAACAGUUGGAAACGACUGCUAAUACCGCAUAAGCCCACGACCCGGCAUCGGGUUGAGGGAAAAGGAGCAAUCCGCUUUGAGAUGGCCUCGCGUCCGAUUAGCUGGUUGGUGAGGUAACGGCCCACCAAGGCAACGAUCGGUAGCCGGACUGAGAGGUUGAACGGCCACAUUGGGACUGAGACACGGCCCAGACUCCUACGGGAGGCAGCAGUGGGGAAUAUUGCACAAUGGGGGAAACCCUGAUGCAGCGACGCCGCGUGGAGGAAGAAGGUCUUCGGAUUGUAAACUCCUGUUGUUGGGGAAGAUGAUGACGGUACUCAACAAGGAAGUGACGGCUAACUACGUGCCAGCAGCCGCGGUAAAACGUAGGUCACGAGCGUUGUCCGGAAUUACUGGGUGUAAAGGGAGCGCAGGCGGGAAGACAAGUUGGAAGUGAAAUCUAUGGGCUCAACCCAUAAACUGCUUUCAAAACUGUUUUUCUUGAGUAGUGCAGAGGUAGGCGGAAUUCCCGGUGUAGCGGUGGAAUGCGUAGAUAUCGGGAGGAACACCAGUGGCGAAGGCGGCCUACUGGGCACCAACUGACGCUGAGGCUCGAAAGUGUGGGUAGCAAACAGG